Molecule: long non-coding RNA, 554 nt
Filed under: Apteryx owenii (little spotted kiwi)
Lineage: Eukaryota; Metazoa; Chordata; Aves; Apterygiformes; Apterygidae
Description: lncRNA (ENSAOWG00000016989.1)
Source: RNAcentral
GCUGCUGCUGCCGCCGCCGCCGCCGGGGAAGGGGGGGAGGGAAGGGGGUAAAAAAGGGUUAAGAAACUUGGCUGAAGAGAUGAAUGGCACGGCGCGGAGCGGGGAGGGGCCGGGCUGCGCCGCGCCAGGCGAGGGGGAAGGAGGGGAGGAUCACGGCUGCGGGUUAGGCUUUGAAAGUCAGCCUCACAGGCAUUGCAGCAGAGCCCCGAACCGCGGAGGGGAGCGGCGCGGAGCUCUCCGUAUCAAGCAUGGAACUGUUUAGGAAGAAAAUUAACACAUCCUUGGACUCCUGAAGGAAGAGCCUUCCCGAUGGGACCACUUUCAAGUGUGAAAGGAUGGGAUGCAAACCCCUGGGAGACUGACUUCCACAUCCUUGCUGCUUUCAGUAGUGGACCAGACAGGCUCAACAAGCUGUUUUGUGACAAGAAACACUCUCCUGUAUUACUUUGUGAUAUGGAAACGUUGGUGACAGCAGUGGAAGAGAGCUGGGGGGAAAAGAAGGGGCUGUGGGAUUAGAUUGUGCGAACUAAUAAACCUUCAUGCUGAAAUGGGCA